Molecule: long non-coding RNA, 986 nt
Organism: Oncorhynchus kisutch (coho salmon)
Lineage: Eukaryota; Metazoa; Chordata; Actinopteri; Salmoniformes; Salmonidae
Exons: 3
Source: RefSeq, a predicted model, not a curated record
AGAUGUAUUUGUGAUAACAUAAAAUAUAAUUGCAUUUAUUUCUAUUGUCAAUCAAGGUGAGACUGAACAUGAACAAGGCACAGGAGAAACAGAAUGAGAGCCACCGGAGGAGAAUCAAGACCAGGUGCUUUGAACAUCCGGGCUAAUAACUUGGAAGAAGGACGAAUAGAAGACGAGACCUGGGAAACCUUGGUGCUCUUUCUCUCCUAGCUGGGGUCACCAUCCAUUAAGGGACCAUCCCUUACCUCCCUCAUCACCUCCCUCAUCACCUCCCUCAUCAAACCCACUGACAGGACCUAGUGGUUCUGCCCAACACCCAGAUGUGGAUCCACCUGAUGUCCUCCAUUACCUGUUCUCCAGGAACUAGGGGUUCGGCCCAACACCCAGACCCACCUGAUGUCCUCCAUUUCCUGUUCUCCAUGACCUAGGGGUUCUGCCCAACACCCAGAACCACCUGAUGUCCUCCAUUUCCUGUUCUCCAGGACCUAGUGGUUCAUUUAGCCUAUUUGGUAACAAAUUUGACGUGUGGAAAAGUCAAGAUUCCUAGACAGGCUAUUGUUUGUCAAUGUUACGUUCCCCAUUUCUGUGUUAGGUGUGUGCUUCAGGAUGGCUUCCUGAAAUCCCCUCAAGCAGCUGAUUACCAAUGCCUUCUGAAGCUAUAAUAAAGCCAGUGUUCUGUUCAAGAGGGAUAUCAAUUGCUGAGAGAAAGAUUGAUUGUGAUAUAGAGAGAUGAUUGCUGAGAGAGGAGGCUGAUGGCUGUGGGUUAUUUACUGUGUUAGUUGUUGCUGAGAACAGCUUUGGUAUGUUCUGUGUUAGUUUGUUGCUCUGUCAGAUAGAGCUUAUUUGAAGUAAUUUGUUUCUCAGUAUGUUUGAAAUUGUUUAAUAUUCUGUUUCAUUUGUUCCCAGGGGGGAAGGAGAAGGCACCUAGGAAGUCCUUAGGCAAGAGGCCCGCGGGCAUACAUAACCCGUAGUAUAUUCACUGUCUA